This 603-nucleotide ribosomal RNA is filed under the name Roseateles sp. Its description in RNAcentral is "bacterial SSU rRNA". It matches the Rfam family "Bacterial small subunit ribosomal RNA", at positions 87 to 686 of the family's 1533-position model. The record is from RNAcentral. Lineage: Bacteria; Pseudomonadati; Pseudomonadota; Betaproteobacteria; Burkholderiales; Sphaerotilaceae.
GGCGACGAGUGGCGAACGGGUGAGUAAUAUAUCGGAACGUGCCCAGUUGUGGGGGAUAACUGCUCGAAAGAGCAGCUAAUACCGCAUACGACCUGAGGGUGAAAGCGGGGGAUCGCAAGACCUCGCGCAAUUGGAGCGGCCGAUAUCAGAUUAGGUAGUUGGUGGGGUAAAGGCCUACCAAGCCUACGAUCUGUAGCUGGUCUGAGAGGACGACCAGCCACACUGGGACUGAGACACGGCCCAGACUCCUACGGGAGGCAGCAGUGGGGAAUUUUGGACAAUGGGGGCAACCCUGAUCCAGCCAUGCCGCGUGCGGGAAGAAGGCCUUCGGGUUGUAAACCGCUUUUGUCAGGGAAGAAAAGACUCCUACUAAUACUGGGGGUUCAUGACGGUACCUGAAGAAUAAGCACCGGCUAACUACGUGCCAGCAGCCGCGGUAAUACGUAGGGUGCAAGCGUUAAUCGGAAUUACUGGGCGUAAAGCGUGCGCAGGCGGUUAUGCAAGACAGAUGUGAAAUCCCCGGGCUCAACCUGGGAACUGCAUUUGUGACUGCAUGGCUAGAGUACGGUAGAGGGGGAUGGAAUUCCGCGUGUAGCAGUGAAA